Molecule: ribosomal RNA, 465 nt
Filed under: Physodeutera fairmairei
Lineage: Eukaryota; Metazoa; Arthropoda; Insecta; Coleoptera; Carabidae
Description: bacterial SSU rRNA
Rfam family: Eukaryotic small subunit ribosomal RNA (bases 180-465)
Source: RNAcentral
GAAUUUGUGUCUUGCGCUGUNGGUUCAUCGCUGUUUGCGGUGUUUAACUGGCACGUUGUGAGACGUCUUGCCGGAAGAGCAUGGUAUAUGUUUUAUUUGCGUCUGCAUGAUAUGCACUAUAAUAUGAUUAUUUUUAUAUAUAUUGUUUAAUAGCGGUAUAUAUAUUAUAUGAUUAUUAUUAGUUGUUAUAUUGUGUUUUGACCUGAUAAUAAUGUGUACGUAGCUCGACUUUUUAAAAUCCUGUCUAGGUGCUCUUAAUUGAGUGUCGUGGCGGGCCGGUACGUUUACUUUGAACAAAUUAGAGUGCUUAAAGCAGGCUUAUGUUGCCUGAAUAUAGUGUGCAUGGAAUAAUGAAACAGGACCUCGGUUCUAUUUUGUUGGUUUUCUGAACUGAACGAGGUAAUGAUUAAUAGGGACAGAUGGGGGCAUUCGUAUUGCGACGUUAGAGGUGAAAUUCUUGGAUCG